CCUUGUACACACCGCCCGUCACACCAUGAAAGUUGUGCCUACCAGAAGUCGUUGCGUUAACCGUAAGGAGACAGACGCCCAAGGUAGGAACGAUGAUUGGGGUG
RNAcentral lists this ribosomal RNA (104 nucleotides) under uncultured bacterium. RNAcentral's name for it is "partial 16S ribosomal RNA". It matches the Rfam family "Bacterial small subunit ribosomal RNA", at positions 1379 to 1482 of the family's 1533-position model. The record is from RNAcentral.